AGGGCUGUAGUUUAAACAGAACAGUUAAUUUGCACUUAACCAGGAUUUCAAUCUGCCCU
This 59-nucleotide transfer RNA is filed under the name Crypturopus tuberculatus. Its description in RNAcentral is "tRNA-Ala". Lineage: Eukaryota; Metazoa; Arthropoda; Malacostraca; Amphipoda; Micruropodidae. The record is from RNAcentral.